RNAcentral lists this ribosomal RNA (254 nucleotides) under uncultured bacterium. Its description in RNAcentral is "partial 16S ribosomal RNA". It matches the Rfam family "Bacterial small subunit ribosomal RNA", at positions 524 to 777 of the family's 1533-position model. The record is from RNAcentral.
UACGAAGGGGGCUAGCGUUGCUCGGAAUCACUGGGCGUAAAGGGUGCGUAGGCGGGUCUUUAAGUCAGGGGUGAAAUCCUGGAGCUCAACUCCAGAACUGCCUUUGAUACUGAAGAUCUUGAGUUCGGGAGAGGUGAGUGGAACUGCGAGUGUAGAGGUGAAAUUCGUAGAUAUUCGCAAGAACACCAGUGGCGAAGGCGGCUCUCUGGGCAGAUACUGACGCUGAGACGCGAAAGCAUGGGGAGCAAACAGGG